AGAAACCAGGUAGUUAUUAACCACUGCAGCAUCUGUCUCCCAUAAUCUUUAGAAUUCCACAUAACCGGCUUUUCCCUUUGUAAGUGAUGGCCCCAGGGAAUGGUAACAAAUGCCAUUUAGCGAACGCUGCCAGCACUACUCUCUGUCCGGUCCUCUGGGCCUUUUUAAUGGGCUUAUUGGUUUCUCCUAGUGGCAGCUCUUUCAGGAAGGAACCCCCACCGUGCCUAUUUGACUUGCCAGGGAGUGCUCCAAGAGGUCCUGAAGACCAAGGAUGAAUGAUGAGGAGGAGGUUCUCCAAUACUUACUGGUAUAUCUAAAUUAGCUCCGGCAUCUAUAAGCAUUUGGACCAUUGCUUCAUCUCCAGCAGCACAGGCAUACAUCAGUGGGGUCAUACCCUUCAGGAAGAGAAGAAAAGUUACAUUUCUGUACCUGUCUGCAGCAAAUCUGUCACGGACACAGAGUUUGAAUUGAAAAUCAGUGCCUUGAAUGAUGCCCCAGAGAGCAGACUCUGCUGUUACUUGAUGGGACUGACAGCACAAACAGAAGCAGCUGAAGACUUCCCAGAGUAACAAGUGCCUACGCUUAAAUGGAGCUGAGCAGGGAAUAGGUAAAAAUAAAGCACGAUGAGCUUUCAGCAAAGCUAAUACCAACUGAUAGCAGUGCCACUGGGAUUCUCUGUGCUGUUUCCUAUACCAGACUGCACUGCGAACAGACAGUUCACUUCAAACAGGCAACCUGAGAGCCCUCAGACAACACCUUUUGGUCGCUCAUCACUGACCCAGAUAGGAUUUUGGCUGUUAAACCAGAAGAGAGCGGCACUGGCAAAAACCACUUUGUUUUGACAUUGUCUUAACAUUAAGGCAACAUCAGACUUUGCAUUUGCAGCCAGCGUAUUAACCUGUCUUCUGUCAGUGCCUGAGACAGACCAUCCAAGCAGCAGACCUGCAUUCCAGCUGAUAAAGAAACAAUUCACUUUAGGCUCUGACUGGCUUUUGAGGGUUGCAUGAGAGGGGGGUUUCUAUUUUUGUUUUGUUUUAAGAGAUGAGUUUUCCAUACUAAAACAUCAGCUAGACUUAGAGAAGUUUUGGAGAGGCAACUAACGCUUAAGACCUACGCAGAAAGGAACGCACAAUUUGAUGCAAGCCUUUUGUGUGUGUAUGGCUA
Numida meleagris (helmeted guineafowl) is the source of this 1164-nucleotide long non-coding RNA. RefSeq lists it as uncharacterized. The record is from RefSeq and is a predicted model, not a curated record. NCBI's taxonomy places the organism in Eukaryota, Metazoa, Chordata, Aves, Galliformes, Numididae. The transcript is spliced from 3 exons.